AUUGAUCGCCGAUUGAAGUGGAGGUAGCUUUCCUCUGCAUAAGUUAAGUUAGCAACUACGUUAUACAUGUGUCUUGAUACAUAGAGGCCGGCGUGGCCUUAUGAUAAAAUCGGAGUUCGUUCAGUUGUAUUUGAUUUAUUCUUUACUUGUAGCAGCUUGUGAAUCCUUGUCUUACCACCUUGGCAGUGCGUCGUACUGACGGUCUAACACUAUUGUUUUCUUCUUCGAAUCUGGUUUGGUUUGGUUUCAUAAUGUCAGGCACUUUGGUGCUUGGUUC
Molecule: long non-coding RNA, 277 nt
Filed under: Hordeum vulgare
Lineage: Eukaryota; Viridiplantae; Streptophyta; Magnoliopsida; Poales; Poaceae
Description: long non-coding RNA (HVUL_LNC010497)
Source: RNAcentral